Molecule: ribosomal RNA, 250 nt
Filed under: uncultured bacterium
Lineage: Bacteria
Description: partial 16S ribosomal RNA
Rfam family: Bacterial small subunit ribosomal RNA
Source: RNAcentral
UAGAUACCCUGGUAGUCCAUGCCGUAAACGGUGGGCGCUAGGUGUGGGUUUCCUUCCACGGGAUCCGUGCCGCAGCUAACGCAUUAAGCGCCCCGCCUGGGGAGUACGGCCGCAAGGCUAAAACUCAAAGGAAUUGACGGGGGCCCGCACAAGCGGCGGAGCAUGUGGAUUAAUUCGAUGCAACGCGAAGAACCUUACCUGGGCUUGACAUAUACAGGACGACGGCAGAGAUGUCGUUUCCCUUGUGGCU